Molecule: unclassified non-coding RNA, 407 nt
Filed under: uncultured fungus
Lineage: Eukaryota; Fungi
Description: partial contains ITS1, 5.8S rRNA and ITS2
Source: RNAcentral
AACGCAUAUUGCGCUCGAGGCCUUGGCCGAGAGCAUGUCUGCCUCAGCGUCGGGUUAUUCUCAUGCUAUAAACUCCAGUUGUGUAAUUGCCUUCAACAGCAUUUACAUAGGGACGCAUGGAACUGGCAGUCUCGGUACGCACGUCCCUUCACGGUUGAUGUGCCUUGCGUUACCGUGUCUGCUUAAGUACAGAGUGAAGCGUUAAGCAAGGACCGUUAUGACGGACCGCAACUGGGUAUGUAGUAAUUGCCUAAAGCGGUGUUGGUCCUAGGUUCUUGUGUUGUCUGCUUGCGGUUCUCGUUCGCAGACUGGAAGACGUGGACAAUAAAGCAGGAAUCCCAUUUAUUGGGAUCUAUAUAACCUAUUAUCUCGACCUGAGCUCAGGCAAGAACACCCGCUGAACUUAA